This 253-nucleotide ribosomal RNA is filed under the name uncultured bacterium. Its description in RNAcentral is "partial 16S ribosomal RNA". It matches the Rfam family "Archaeal small subunit ribosomal RNA", at positions 474 to 727 of the family's 1478-position model. The record is from RNAcentral.
UACCCGCAGCACAAGUGGUGGUCAUUAUUAUUGGGCCUAAAGCGUCCGUAGCUGGCCUGUUAGAUGCCUGGGUAAAUCGAUGCGCUCGACGCAUCGAAUUCCGGGUAGACCGGCAGGCUCGGGACCGGGAGAGGUGUAGGCUACUCGAGGGGUAGGGGUAAAAUCCUGUAAUCCUUCGGGGAGGACCAGUGGCGAAGGCGCUACACUAGAACGGCUCCGACAGUGAGGGACGAAGCCCUGGGGCGCAAACCGG